AGAGCACACGGUGGAUGCCUUGGCAUAAGGAGGCGAUGAAGGACGUGUAAAGCUGCGAUAAGCUUCGGGGAGCUGCAAAAGAGCGUUGAUCCGAGGAUUUCCGAAUGGGGCAACCCCAAUGACACCCUUAUAGGGUGGGCUAACCGGCCGAACUGAAACAUCUAAGUAGGCCGAGGAGAAGAAAACAACAGUGAUUCCCCAAGUAGUGGCGAGCGAACGGGGAGCAGCCCAAACCGGUCGGGUUACGGCCCGGUCGGGGUAGUAGGACCACGUGGUGGUAGUAUGCUGGUGAGUCGAAUGCGCCUGGAAAGCGCAGCCGCAGAAGGUGAAAGCCCUGUAGGCGAAGCGAGCAUACGCCUAGUGGUAUCCUGAGUAGCGCGGGACCGGAGAAAUCCUGCGUGAAUUUGCCGGCACCAUCCGGUAAGGCUAAAUACUCCCUUAUGACCGAUAGUGCACUAGUACCGUGAGGGAAAGGUGAAAAGAACGCCGAGAAGGCGAGUUAAAAGUACCUGAAACCGUGUGCUUACAACCAGUCGGAGCAUUUUAUUUAUAGGAUGUGACGGCGUGCCUUUUGCAUAAUGAGCCUACGAGUUAUACCUGCAUGGCGAGGUUAAGCCCCUUGCGGGGCGGAGCCGCAGCGAAAGCGAGUCUGAAACGGGCGGCAGUCGUGCGGGAUAGACGCGAAACCAUGUGAUCUACCCAUGGCCAGGGUGAAGCGAAGGUAAGACUUCGUGGAGGCCCGAACCGGUAGGCGUUGAAAAGCCUUCGGAUGAGCUGUGGGUAGGGGUGAAAGGCCAAUCAAACAUGGAGAUAGCUCGUUCUCCCCGAAAUAUAUUUAGGUAUAGCGUAUGACCGAGCUCCACGGAGGUAGAGCACUGAUUAGGCUAGGGCCCUUCACCGGGUACCAAACCUUGACAAACUCCGAAUGCCGUGGUAGUGAUGGCAUGCAGUCAGCGGCAGGGUGAUAACGUCCUGUUGCGAGAGGGAAACAACCCGGAACACCAGCUAAGGUCCCAAAGACGGGCUAAGUUGAUCAAAGGAGGUUGGGUUGCCCAGACAACCAGGAGGUUGGCUUAGAAGCAGCCAUUCCUUUAAAGAGUGCGUAAUAGCUCACUGGUCGAGCGACCCGGCGUCGAAAAUUUGCGGGCAUCAAGUCCGUCACCGAAGCUGUGUCUUGGCUGGCAUUAUGCCGGUCAGGGGUAGGGGAGCAUUGUAAGGGCGUUGAAGGUUGGCUGUGAGGCUGGCUGGAGCGCUUACAAGAGAAACUGUAGGCAUGAGUAACGAUAACAGGGGUGAAAAUCCCCUGCACCGAAAACCUAAGGGUUCCUGAUCAACGUUCGUCGGAUCAGGGUUAGUCGGGACCUAAGGUGAUCCUGCUUUUGGCAGGUAAGCCGAUGGCAAACGGGUUUAUAUUCCCGUACCGCGAGUACACGUUAAGCUAAGGCGUGACGCAGAAGUGACACCUGUGCGCACAGACGGAUGUGCGUUGAAGGGCGUAGGCUGUGGGGUAGGCAAAUCCGCCCCGCGUUCGGCUGAACCCCGACAGUACCACAAGGCUUCGGCUGCGUGGAUAAUCAGGGUAACCAUGCUGCCAAGAAAAGCGUCGUAGUUAGUGUGCCGUGCCCGUACCGUAAACCGACACAGGUAGGUGAGGAGAGUAUCCUCAGGUGCGCGAGUGAUUCAUGGCUAAGGAACUCGGCAAAUUAGAUCCGUAACUUCGGGAGAAGGAUCCCCGUUAGCAAUAACGGGCGCAGUGAAAAGGUCCAAGCGACUGUUUAGCAAAAACACAUGACUCUGCUAAGGCGCAAGCCGAUGUAUAGGGUCUGACACCUGCCCGGUGCUGGAAGGUUAAGGAAGGGGGUUAGCCUUAGGGUGAAGCUCUUGACCGAAGCCCCAGUAAACGGCGGCCGUAACUAUAACGGUCCUAAGGUAGCGAAAUUCCUUGUCGGGUAAGUUCCGACCUGCACGAAUGGUGUAACGACUUGGACACUGUCUCGGCCAUGAGCUCGGUGAAAUUGUGGUGCCGGUGAUGACGCCGGCAACCCGCAGUGGGACGAAAAGACCCCGUGAACCUUUACUACAGCUUUGCAUUGGAUUCGGCUGUGUUAUGUGUAGCAUAGGUGGGAGACUGGGAAGCGGAUACGCCAGUAUUCGUGGAGUCACCGUUGAAAUACCACCCUUAGCUUAGCUGGAUUCUAACCCCCAUGUGGGGGACAUUGCAUGGUGGGUAGUUUGACUGGGGCGGUCGCCUCCUAAAGAGUAACGGAGGCUCACAAAGGUUCCCUCAGCACGGUUGGCAAUCGUGCAGUGUGUGUAAAGGCAUAAGGGAGCUUGACUGCGAGACCUACAAGUCGAGCAGGGACGAAAGUCGGUCUUAGUGAUCCGGCGGUUCCGAAUGGAAGGGCCGUCGCUCAAAGGAUAAAAGGUACUCCGGGGAUAACAGGCUGAUCUCCCCCAAGAGUUCAUAUCGACGGGGAGGUUUGGCACCUCGAUGUCGGCUCAUCGCAUCCUGGGGCUGGAGAAGGUCCCAAGGGUUUGGCUGUUCGCCAAUUAAAGCGGUACGCGAGCUGGGUUCAGAACGUCGUGAGACAGUUCGGUCUCUAUCUACUGCGGGCGUUAGGAAAAUUGAGGAGAUCUGCCUCUAGUACGAGAGGACCGGGGUGGACGAGCCGCUAGUGUACCUGUUGUGACGCCAGUUGCAUCGCAGGGUAGCUAUGCUCGGCCGGGAUAAGCCGCUGAAAGCAUCUAAGCGCGAAGCCCACUCCAAGAUAAGUUUUCCCCUAUGAGCCCUGGAAGAUGACCAGGUUGAUAGGCGACAGGUGUACGCAUGGUAACAUGUUCAGCUGAGUCGUACUAAUCGCUCAUGCGUCUUUC
RNAcentral lists this ribosomal RNA (2874 nucleotides) under microbial mat metagenome. Its description in RNAcentral is "bacterial LSU rRNA". It matches the Rfam family "Bacterial large subunit ribosomal RNA". The record is from RNAcentral.